This 467-nucleotide unclassified non-coding RNA is filed under the name Hevea brasiliensis (rubber tree). The record is from RNAcentral. Lineage: Eukaryota; Viridiplantae; Streptophyta; Magnoliopsida; Malpighiales; Euphorbiaceae.
GAGCAGAGCUCUUAGGCUCCUCUUCUUCAACUAAAUUCAAAGACAGAUCUUUCUUUUGAAUUCCGAAAAUCCCAUCACUCCCAUCAUGAGGCCUCUUAGUUCCCCUGUUUUCUACCUGAUGAAUACUCCAUGGCUUUCCGUUUUGGUCCAUUGAAUGGCUCAAAAACUGAAACCCCGUUUGAGGAUUUUUGGUUUCCGUCUCUCUAGGCUUACCCAUUACCCCAAAUCUAGCGAGAUACAGUUGAGAAGCGGCAGGUGGAGGCAGAAAGUUCAUGUUUUGACACCCACUGAAACUAUUAUUGUCACUCCUUAGGUGUUGUACACUCAUUUUGACCAAAAGAAACCAGCUAUAAAACCAGACAGGAAGAUGAAAUAAAACAGAAGUUGAAAACCCCCAAAGCUGUCUCCUUUCUAUAUAAUGCCUCAGAAGCAGAGUGAAAGACAGAUUUUUGAGAUGCAACAAAGGG